AGGGAUUUCUUUUGCACAAGCAACUAUGCGAUAUGUGUUGAAACUCCUUUACCUGUGUGUAAAUGCAGACAAAACCAGGGAAGGAGGCCUGAAAGCAGCAAUCAGAUGAAACCUUGUCAAUGCUGUAAGAAAUUCAUCCCACAGUGAUGAGAGGUAACACCCAGUUAUCUGGAGCACACGUGGAAAGAACUGACUGGAAUAUACAGCAGGAGGGAUGAGGGAGGUGAACUUCCAGUCUUGGUCCUGGGCUGAACAAGAUUUCUUAACUCUACAUUAUGAAACAAGAGGGCAGUGAAAUGGUCUCUGCUAACACACACCACCCUUCCCUUUUUCUGUAUGCUUCUCUUGAUAUAAGCCACUCCCUUUCCUGUGUCCUUCCCUGACUCACUGCUCUUUGCUGUGGCUGUUCCUCUUCCCUUCCUUCCCCACCUUGGAGUCCUUCAGCCAGCAGAGACGGAUAUUUCAGUAACUGCAGCUAUGCCACUAAACUGUAACUUUCAUUUUUUUUAUUGGGAAACUCAACUGAGAGAUGCCUAAUGAUCCUGGGAGAUGAAUCUCCCAGCACAGUGUAACCUAAUGGAUAUUUAGAGUGGCAAUCUAGUGGGGGAAGUGAAUGAAGCAGUGCUGGAAAUACAGUUGCAACAAAUUUAAAACACUUCUGUUCCCUGUAUCUAUGUUUUACCCAGCUAUUAGUAUCAGCUUAUUCUGUACGCUUAGCUGGCUCUUCUCUUCCUCCUUAAAAUCCCUCUCAGAAGCUCCUUGCUGCAGCCCCGUUUGCCAAUUAGCCUCUUGUUCCUGUUGUGCGCAGUGUUUAGGAGAAUUCAGUAUUUUGUGUUCUGUCUGUGGAACAAACCACCCUGCUUUUCUCUUGCACCCUAGGAGGAUCUCUGGCAUACCAGAACUGCAGUUUGGCUGCCUCCCACCUAUGACUGAACUGCAGGUGGUGGUCAGAGGCCACAGUGACUUGAUGGCCUUUUGGUCCUUUUUUGUCAUGUCACCAACAUACAGUUGCAUCUGUAUCCUUACCAGCCCCUGGCUUAGGGGGUCUUUCACCAUCUUUCCUUCACCAGAGCCAUAACAUUGCUUCAUUUAUCAGUAAAACAGAAUCAACAAAACAUUUUCCUUUUCCACUCACUGAGCUGCACAAGAUGAUGGAUGGGGGAGAGGCUUCUUUGAGCCAGCAUGUCACAGACUGUGGGGUUGUUUUGUUGCUUCUUGGGAGUGAACAUGGACCCUGAAGUGAAGACUCUCACUCCUUUCACUUUGGUCUAAUUGAACUAAUGCCCUCUUUGGGGUUUCAUGGAAGAGAAAAUGUUGUAGGUGAAAAAAAAUUCCCAAUGUGGCUGGCUUUUUCUCUACAGAAGCUCUUACCUGUCUUGCACCAAUCCACCUUCACAUACAUGACUUGAGGUGAGGGACAACAGAAUUCAAGUAGCACGUAGUCAAUUCUACUAGCAUACGUGGAGAAAAUCAAAGUAAUUGUGAAAGAGUUGGAUUCAUUCUUAUAAACUGAAUAAAUAUGUAUUUAACCAUAGCUUUAUGGUCUGGCCAGCAGCAAAGAGUUGGAGUAGAUGGUUGGGGAGGGGAAAUUAUUGUAAAUUGAAAAUGUUUUAGUCUCUGUAGGUUUGGAAUACAAAGGGGGAAGGAGCAGUUUUUUCAUCCUUAAGGUGAAAAGAUGGUCUAUUCCUAAGCUACAUUAACUCAUAGAGCUAACCACUCAUUCUUCCACAUUUUGAUGCAUUCCUUUUUGUUCUUUCAAAAUCCCUCAUCCACUGUCUGUUAAACCAGAUCAACUGGGCUGCUGAUACGUAAAUUUGUAACCAUAAUCAUUUGGUGUUAAAAUUAUCUCUUUUUCUUGUACCUUUUUCUUGUACCUUCAUGGUUCAAAGCUGCAUCUUUAUACUGUUGCUUGUAGUCAUGGAACUGUAAUUUGCAUAUUGAAAAAUAAAAUUGGGGUGAUGUUUAA
This is a long non-coding RNA of Anas platyrhynchos (mallard), 1966 nucleotides long. RefSeq lists it as uncharacterized. The record is from RefSeq and is a predicted model, not a curated record. Lineage: Eukaryota; Metazoa; Chordata; Aves; Anseriformes; Anatidae.